Molecule: ribosomal RNA, 253 nt
Filed under: uncultured bacterium
Lineage: Bacteria
Description: partial 16S ribosomal RNA
Rfam family: Bacterial small subunit ribosomal RNA
Source: RNAcentral
UACGUAGGGUGCAAGCGUUGUCCGGAAUUAUUGGGCGUAAAGAGCUCGUAGGCGGUCUGUCGCGUCGGCUGUGAAAACCUGGGGCUCAACUCCGGGCCUGCAGCCGAUACGGGCUGACUAGAAUUCGGUAGGGGAGACUGGAAUUCCUGGUGUAGCGGUGAAAUGCGCAGAUAUCAGGAGGAACACCGAUGGCGAAGGCAGGUCUCUGGGCCACUACUGACGCUGAGAAGCGAAAGCAUGGGGAGCGAACAGG